Molecule: small RNA, 282 nt
Filed under: Piliocolobus tephrosceles (Ugandan red Colobus)
Lineage: Eukaryota; Metazoa; Chordata; Mammalia; Primates; Cercopithecidae
Description: Metazoan signal recognition particle RNA (ENSPTEG00000038947.1)
Source: RNAcentral
GCCGGGCGUGGUGGCUCACGCCUGUAAUCCCAGCAUUUUGGGAGGCCAAGGUGGGUGGAUCACUUGAGGCCAGGAGUUCGAGACCAGCCUGGCCGACAUGGCAAAACCCUGUCUCUACUAAAAAUACAAAAAUUAGCCGGGCGUGGUGGCAGGUGCCUAUAAUCCCAGCUACUCAGGAGACUGAGGCAGAAGAAUUGCUUGAACCCAGGAGGCGGAGGAUGCAGUGAGCCAAGAUUGUACCACUGUACUCCAGCCUGGGCAACAGAGUGAGACUCCAUCUUA